CCUACGGGAGGCAGCAGUGGGGAAUAUUGGACAAUGGGGGGAACCCUGAUCCAGCGACGCCGCGUGAGUGAAGAAGUAUUUCGGUAUGUAAAGCUCUAUCAGCAGGGAAGAAAGAAAUGACGGUACAUGACUAAGAAGCGCCUGCUAACGACGUGCCAGCAGCGGCGGUAAGACGGAGGGGGCAAGCGUUAUCCGGAUUUACUGGGUGUAAAGGGUGCGUAGACGGCGAUGCAAGUCUGAAGUGAAAGGCGGUGGCCCAACCCCCGUACUGCUUUUGAAACUGUAUGGCUGGAGUGCAGGAGAGGUAAGUGGAAUUCCUAGUGUAGCGGUGAAAUGCGUAGAUAUUAGGAGGAACACCAGUGGCGAAGGCGACUUACUGGACUAUAACUGACGUUGAGGCUCGAAAGCGUGGGGAGCAAACAGGAUUAGAUACCCGUGUAGUC
RNAcentral lists this ribosomal RNA (443 nucleotides) under uncultured bacterium. RNAcentral describes it as "partial 16S ribosomal RNA". It matches the Rfam family "Bacterial small subunit ribosomal RNA", at positions 338 to 795 of the family's 1533-position model. The record is from RNAcentral.